Molecule: ribosomal RNA, 826 nt
Filed under: uncultured Gammaproteobacteria bacterium
Lineage: Bacteria; Pseudomonadati; Pseudomonadota; Gammaproteobacteria
Description: bacterial SSU rRNA
Rfam family: Bacterial small subunit ribosomal RNA
Source: RNAcentral
ACAUGCAAGUCGUGCGAGAAAGUAUCUUCGGAUAUGAGUAGAGCGGCGGACGGGUGAGUAACGCGUAGGAAUCUACCUAGUAGAAGGGGAUAGCCCGGGGAAACCCGGAUUAAUACCGUAUACCUCCUUCGGGAGAAAGAAGGCCUCUCUUUGAAGCUUUCGCUAUUAGAUGAGCCUGCGUAAGAUUAGCUUGUUGGUGAGGUAAAGGCUCACCAAGGCAACGAUCUUUAGCUGGUCUGAGAGGACGAUCAGCCACAUUGGGACUGAGACACGGCCCAGACUCCUACGGGAGGCAGCAGUGGGGAAUAUUGGACAAUGGGCGCAAGCCUGAUCCAGCCAUACCGCGUGUGUGAAGAAGGCCUUAGGGUUGUAAAGCACUUUAAGCAGGGAGAAAAAGUUAUAAGUUAAUACCUUAUAACCGUGAUGUUACCUGCAGAAUAAGCACCGGCUAAUUCCGUGCCAGCAGCCGCGGUAAUACGGAAGGUGCAAGCGUUAAUCGGAAUUACUGGGCGUAAAGCGCGCGUAGGUGGUUUGUUAAGUUGGAUGUGAAAGCCCUGGGCUCAACCUAGGAACUGCAUCCAAAACUAACUCACUAGAGUACGAUAGAGGGAGGUAGAAUUCAUAGUGUAGCGGUGGAAUGCGUAGAUAUUAUGAAGAAUACCAGUGGCGAAGGCGGCCUCCUGGAUCUGUACUGACACUGAGGUGCGAAAGCGUGGGUAGCGAACAGGAUUAGAUACCCUGGUAGUCCACGCCGUAAACGAUGACAACUAGCUGUUGGAAGACAAUGUCUUUCAGUGGCGCAGCUAACGUUUUAAGUUGUCCGCCU